GUGAAUGCUCCAUACUGCCACUGACUCAUGGACUCCGUGACACAACAGAGUCAGGUGGUCUUGUCACCGAAUACUAAACAUUACCAUGGACUUCUUGUAACUUUCCACUGGAAGGGAAAGGAGGUCAAGUUUGGGAAAGAGCGAAUUGCUGCCUUAUGUAAAUCCGAUUUACGGGUGGGGAGGAAGGCAAACGGACUCCUCCUCUCCGUGGCCUCUCUGCCCAAGAAGAAAGAUUUCUAAAGCCACCUGAAGGAAAGGCAGAGGGCAGUCCAGACUGAGACGGGGGUCCAGUCUGAAAAGAAAUAUACCUGGAACUCUGAACCACGGAAACGUUGCAACCUGCCUAAAAUAAUAUUUAGGGCUGAUGGGGGAUACUUAGCAACACUGUUCCCACGACGACCCACGUCCAGUUCUCGCCAUUUGCGUUUGCAGCGAGGAACACGUGCAUCUCUGAUGUGAUCGUCUCCCCUUCCCUUGUGUCCGAAUGAACUCAUGCAAGUUCUCACAGGGCUCAGCACAACGGAGCCUCGAUCGUGUGACACAGAUCCAGGGACUCCAAUAGCGUCAUCGGCUCCGCUCUCUGGACACGGGACACACCUCUGAGAGCUGGGACCAUCCACAGGAAUUUCAGGA
Mauremys mutica (yellowpond turtle) is the source of this 633-nucleotide long non-coding RNA. RefSeq lists it as uncharacterized. The record is from RefSeq and is a predicted model, not a curated record. The transcript has 3 exons. NCBI's taxonomy places the organism in Eukaryota, Metazoa, Chordata, Testudines, Geoemydidae.